Lycium barbarum (goji berry) is the source of this 103-nucleotide small nuclear RNA. NCBI's taxonomy places the organism in Eukaryota, Viridiplantae, Streptophyta, Magnoliopsida, Solanales, Solanaceae. The record is from RefSeq and is a predicted model, not a curated record.
GUCCCUUCAGGGACAUACAAUAAAAUUAGAACGAUAUAAAUAAGAUUGGCAUGAACCAUGCACAAGAAUGAUGCGCACAAAUCGAGAAAUUGUCCAAUUUUUU